UGGCCCAGUUGGUAGAGCAUGGUGUUUGCAACGCCAAGGUUGUGGGUUCGAUUCCCAC
RNAcentral lists this transfer RNA (58 nucleotides) under Salmo salar (Atlantic salmon). It matches the Rfam family "tRNA", at positions 8 to 63 of the family's 71-position model. From Rfam's summary of the family: Transfer RNA (tRNA) molecules are approximately 80 nucleotides in length. The record is from Rfam by way of RNAcentral. RNAcentral also lists the same sequence under 1 other name. Lineage: Eukaryota; Metazoa; Chordata; Actinopteri; Salmoniformes; Salmonidae.